RNAcentral lists this ribosomal RNA (166 nucleotides) under uncultured bacterium. RNAcentral describes it as "partial 16S rRNA". It matches the Rfam family "Bacterial small subunit ribosomal RNA", at positions 355 to 511 of the family's 1533-position model. The record is from RNAcentral.
UGGGGAAUAUUGGACAAUGGGCGAAAGCCUGAUCCAGCCAUGCCGCGUGUGUGAAGAAGGCCCUCGGGUCGUAAAGCACUUUAAGUUGGGAGGAAGGGCUUACAGCGAAUACCUGUGAGUUUUUGACGUUUACCAACAGAAUAAGCACCGGCUAACUUCGUGCCAG